AUUGAACGCUGGCGGCAGGCUUAACACAUGCAAGUCGAGCGGUAACAGGUCCUUCGGGAUGCUGACGAGCGGCGGACGGGUGAGUAAUACAUAGGAAACUGCCCAGUAGUGGGGGAUAGCCCGGGAAACCCGGAUUAAUACCGCGUAUGCCCUAAGGGGGAAAGCAGGGGAUCUUCGGACCUUGCGCUAUUGGAUGUGCCUAUGUCGGAUUAGCUAGUUGGUGGGGUAAAGGCCUACCAAGGCGACGAUCCGUAGCUGGUCUGAGAGGAUGAUCAGCCACAUCGGGACUGAGACACGGCCCGA
Molecule: ribosomal RNA, 303 nt
Filed under: uncultured Marinobacter sp.
Lineage: Bacteria; Pseudomonadati; Pseudomonadota; Gammaproteobacteria; Pseudomonadales; Marinobacteraceae
Description: bacterial SSU rRNA
Rfam family: Bacterial small subunit ribosomal RNA
Source: RNAcentral